This 253-nucleotide ribosomal RNA is filed under the name uncultured bacterium. Its description in RNAcentral is "partial 16S ribosomal RNA". It matches the Rfam family "Bacterial small subunit ribosomal RNA", at positions 524 to 776 of the family's 1533-position model. The record is from RNAcentral.
UACGAAGGGGGCUAGCGUUGUUCGGAUUUACUGGGCGUAAAGCGCACGUAGGCGGAUUUUUAAGUCAGGGGUGAAAUCCCGGGGCUCAACCCCGGAACUGCCUUUGAUACUGGAAGUCUUGAGUAUGAUAGAGGUGAGUGGAAUUCCGAGUGUAGAGGUGAAAUUCGUAGAUAUUCGGAGGAACACCAGUGGCGAAGGCGGCUCACUGGACCAUUACUGACGCUGAGGUGCGAAAGCGUGGGGAGCAAACAGG